RNAcentral lists this ribosomal RNA (441 nucleotides) under Triticum aestivum (bread wheat). Its description in RNAcentral is "partial small subunit ribosomal RNA". Lineage: Eukaryota; Viridiplantae; Streptophyta; Magnoliopsida; Poales; Poaceae. The record is from RNAcentral.
AUGGCAGACGGCAAGGUGUCCGCAUCCGAGCUGCGGCGCUGCACGGAGGCGACGCUGGGCAAGUACGUGUCUGAGGAGGAGGCGGUGGCGGCCCUCGCGGCGGUGGACACCGACGGUGACGGACUGCUAAACCAAGAAGAGUUCUCGAGGCUGGCCGCCGCCGGCGCCCAUGAAGCGGACGAUGCUGACGUGAAGCGAAGGUGCUUGAGGGAGGCUUUCGGGAUCCACAGCUCCAAGAAUACGCGGAGGAUGUGGCCCGCUUCCAAGUGCGUCUGCGUGCUGGCCACCCACGCCGGGUCCUUCAAGUGCCGCUUCCACCGCACCAACUCCCAGGCCCAGGGAAGCCGCCCUUCUUCGCCCCCUUCAACGGCCGCGGCCAACGGGGUGCCGCGGCACCCGGCCUCGCCGUUCUCGUCCUCCGGCACCGUCACGACCCAGUGA